RNAcentral lists this ribosomal RNA (253 nucleotides) under uncultured bacterium. RNAcentral describes it as "partial 16S ribosomal RNA". It matches the Rfam family "Bacterial small subunit ribosomal RNA", at positions 524 to 776 of the family's 1533-position model. The record is from RNAcentral.
UACGGAAGGGGCAAGCGUUGUUCGGAAUCAUUGGGCGUAAAGGGCGCGUAGGUGGUUCCGUAUGUCUAUCGUGAAAGCGUACGGCUCAACCGUAUUUUGUCGGUAGAAACUGCAGGACUUGAGGCUGGGAGGGGCUGGUGGAAUUCCCUGUGUAGCGGUGAAAUGCGUAGAGAUGGGGGAGAACACUCGUGGCGAAGGCGGCCAGCUAGACCGGUUCUGACACUGAGGCGCGACAGCGUGGGGAGCAAACAGG